UGCAACAUGCAUCAGAUUAAAAAAUAGCAAACUUGAGUUGAAGCAAGGAAACAUAAAAUUGCAGAAAGCAAUUCGAAAAGAACUUGUAUUGGAAAUUGACAGAAAGUUUCGAGUCAAGAAAACGAAAAUUUCAAAGAAGCAAAGAUAAGUUCAGAUACCCCCAUCUUCCAUGGAGAUUGCGAGACCUCAUGAUUUUUGCUUGAGGAUUUCUCCUUUGGGUCUGUCCACUGUAUAUCCUGUAUAGUGGCGUCCUUUUUUCUAGUGUUUCUCUUUUGAUGUUGUUAGAUGUGUUUAACCCACUAAUGUUCCAGGUUUCUCUAUUUUAUGUUACGAUGGUAGUGACAUUGGAGAAGAAAUGUGUGUUGAGGUACAAAUCUUGAAUUUUUGGAGGUUCAAUGCAUUGCUGCUGAAAGGUACAUUCUCUCAAUAGUAUAAUGCAAUUUGUUAAUAAAAAUAAAUAGUGAUUCCAUAUGUAUUAUACGAGUAGUUCAUACAAAAAAAGAAGCAAAAAGCUGUGAUUCACUAUGUAUUAUAUGUCCAAAUUUUGUUUUAUUCAGCAUAAGGCUUCCAAGCAUGGUUCAGUUUCAGCACAAAGCUCAGUUCAAUAGAAACCAUGCCGACUUGGAUACCGACUUACCACUUAAUAAGUUACUGGACUGACCAAAACCUUCUGUAGUACUAGUCGACAUCACUAUUCAAGAUAAAUUUUGAGCUAUAAGUUCCAUUUUUCUUCCUUCCUGUUUUGAUACAUAUUUAGGAAUUACCUUUGUUAAUUUUGGCAUCCCCCGAAGCCUUGCACCCCCGGAGAAGCCACCCGCUGGAUCCAGUAGGGCAACACUGUUGACACCGAUGUCGUAGUCCUCCGGUGUCGCCUUUCCCAUCCCUGUCCAGGUAUAGGACUCGCACCAGUCCAGAUCUUCCUAGCUUCUCCGUUCAAGCUCCUCGUGCCAUGCUUGAUGGCCAGUUCAUCAUUAUAAACAUAAAUUUCUUUCAGUUCUGAAACGUGUACAGUUCCAGGAACAUUGUUGUGCAGACCAAAAAGUGUGCGAUGGAUAUUCUCUUCACAUUUUUUUGUGUUUUGGAGUAAAUCAACAUAGAUUGUUGACACAGUAGCUUCUAAUUUUUUGCACCGGAUUUGGAGAUAUGAACAAUGAUUGAUUUUGAUCAGUACUUGGUUGUGUGAUAUUUUUGAAACUAGGAUGACCUUGACCUUCGUCUGCUCUUAUGGUUUCCAGCAUCAUCCAGGACAACCUCGACCUACUACCACUAGUUGUUGGUGCACCUCCUAUUAGCCGCUAGUUGUUACCUAGUGACAUUCGGCUUGCAAGUUUAGGAAUUGGCUAUGAUGUUGUGUGGGCAUGCAACAUAAUUCUAAGGAAAUAAAUAUGGAAGUUCAUAUAUGAAGCAUAAUAAUGCUGCGCACUCUGUUAUAAGUUCUAAGGAAAUAAAUAUAGAAGUUCAUAUUUCAAAACAAAUGAAGUAUUUUGGAGGUAAAACAAACUAUUUCAAAGUACAUAAAUUAUAUUUAGGUAUCUUUGUGUACUUCAAUGUUACUGUACAUGAACUUGUUCUUUUUAUGUGAACUUGUACAUUUGCCCAUCCGACAAACAAUUUGAUUUGCACUUUUUUGGCCAUAUUUGACCUGUCAUAUUUCUCUAGUUCCAUCUCGUUCUUGAGUUCUUCUGACCAAGAGCUAGUAAGAUCAAACAUGAAUUUAUACCAGUUCAAAAAACAGAUUGUUGGGAAAUAAGAUUAAGACCAAAAACCAGAAAAGUUGUACAAAAAGAAAGUUAAAAAGCGUUUCAUUGGGACCUAUAUAAGCAAACAAUUUGCUGAUCAAUCGAGAGGAGGAGGUGUAGCCGGUCCACCCGAUCUCCGAUAUCUUAUUCCACCUACAAUUUUUUUUCUUUUUGAGUUCUACUCCCUCCGUUCCAGAAUAUAAGGUGUAUUGGUUUCCGUGCAAGUCAACCAUUUGAAUGUUUGACCAAGAUUAUAGAAUAAAAUAACAACAGUUACAAAACCUAGUAGAUAAAAUAUGAAACUACUUUUCAUGAUGGAUCAAAUGAUAUAAAUUUUGUAUACUGAAUGUUGAUAUAUUUUUCUAAAAACUUGGGCAAACUUGCACUCGUUUGACUUUUCAAAAAACAAAUACACCUUAUAUAAAGGAACGGAGGGAGUAUUGUUCGUCAUAGGUUCACCGCUAUUACCUCAGUGCAAAAGUGCCAAAAAUUAUUUACUAUUGAGUCAUUUUUUAUGAGAAGGUGUUAAGAUGGUACAUGUAGUUGGACAUCUCAAAUAUAUUGUAAUGUAUUUUUUGCAUAGUACCUUGAAAUUAUGUUAGCAAUUCUGAAUUGCUAUUGUGCUUGAAACUGAAAAUGAUUCUGUCACUUCUCAAUCCUCGUGGACUUGAUGCUUAAAAUACUUCUAGAAUGAAUUGAUUCUUGUUCUUUCAUGAUCAGUUCAGCAAAUAAUUUUUUAGUUGAGUCCAAUUUCAAAUUCUCAUUUUAGUUUAGUCAAAAGUUUCUUAUUUUAGUUCAGUAUAAUAUCCAAGUUUAUUUCAGUUCAAUUCUUAUUUUAGUUUUAGUUCAUUUCAAUUCUUAUUUUAGUCAAUCUAUAGUCUAUGGAUUUCAUUUGGCCUAGAUUGCUAGAUGUACUAACUUGUUGUGCCAAGGAUAUCUAAAACAUUAAGUGUUGCUACUAUAACUCGUUCAUUGUUUCACGCCUUCCCACAAACGCGCGCCCCCACCUCCCCACCAACGUGCGCCGCCCCUAGAUGUGGUGCUGAUAGUAGUAGGCGCCGGUUGUGUUGGAUAAAGUUCCUAGGAGCUCCCGUGAUUUAUACAUGGAACCCAGAUGAUUUCGUUUCUUCAUUCCCCCAAGUGCUUCAAUGUUGGCUCCUUCUCGGCUAGUUCGAUCGCUGUUGGAUUAGGUGGGCAUAGGUGUGGGUUUGCAGGAGCAUGGAGGUGGAUGGAUACGGGGAAGUUGGCACCGCUCUUGUGUUAUUUUCUCUGGCGAUUGAGAAAUUGAUACACUCUUUUUAAUGCGUAAGUUGAUCUGCUCACAACAUGUUUGUGUGAAAGCCAAAUAGCUUGAGAAUAGUAACCCGUUUGAGCUUAGCUGAGAGGAUUUUGAAUCAUUGUGUGAGGCAGUGUGGACAUGGCCUUGAGAUAAUGCAUGCUGCUUUAUUCAUAAAGAGACGGUGUUGUUGAUUUUAUUCAUAGGAAACUGAACCAAAACAGUGGUUGCUACUAGUGUUUGGAAAUUAUAUUUACUAGAACUCUGAUUUCUCACCCUUUUAAUUGCUGACUAAUUCUUGUAAAAAGUAGUGUUUAAUCUUGCUAAUUACUUUGAUGUGAUGCCUAGGUGGUCAGUCCACCUCCUGCAACCAACACCGGACGAAUUAGUGCAGUGUGUGUGUUUAAAAAAUUCAGUUUUAUAUUGUAUGGUAGUUCACCGUAUAGAAAAUUUGUAAUAGUUUGGCCAGAAUAAAGUUCGCAUAGUUCAUACUCGCGAGGCAGUAAUGUUCAAUGAGAGAAAACCAUCAGUUCAAAUAUAUAUGCAGGAGGUUGAGCGCAUAAAAAAAUGUAAUUUUUCUUUUGACGCGUUUAAUUUUUCAGUAUCCAGUACAUUAGUUUAGUAGUUGGUAUUAACUACUCUAGUUUUUUGUUUGAUGUACCUGUGGUGUCUAGUUUCUUCUGUCAAUUCAAUUUCUAAAUUUCAUCCAGCUCAAUUCAUAUUGUAGCUCCAAUUUAGUCCACGUGGUUAAUUGUUGGCUGGUGUGUGUGUGCAGGGUACAGUGACAUUGAGUAGGCACGAAGUGUAUCACUCCAGCACGCUAAGCUCCAGUGCAUGUCAACAUCUUCUCCACUGCAAUGGAAGCUCCUCUAUUCCAGUUGAGCACUGGUCAUCGUCCAAGUUGAGCACUAGGUGCCGUCCAAGUUCAAAGAGGGUUGUAUGCAAGUACAUAAGUUUGUUGUAGUGAGAAAAAUGCGGGGUUUUAACAAUAUUCUGUAUGAUUCAUUUAUUCAACCUUAUAACUUGGCAAUAUUCGGUCUAUUUUUCUAUGAUGAAGGCACACGUGAAGUCCUGUGCAAUCGUUAUCCCCCUAGUGCUUCAAAGAUUCAUAUUUUGUUUCUUCAAAUGUGGUGUGCGCCUGUUUGAUGAGGUAAAACAAAGUAAAAUAGUGAAAAU
RNAcentral lists this long non-coding RNA (4191 nucleotides) under Triticum aestivum (bread wheat). RNAcentral's name for it is "long non-coding RNA (TAES_LNC001968)". Lineage: Eukaryota; Viridiplantae; Streptophyta; Magnoliopsida; Poales; Poaceae. The record is from RNAcentral.